AGCAGCCGCGGUAAUUCCAGAACUCCAAUAGCGUAUAUUAAAGUUGUUGCAGUUAAAAAGCUCGUAGUUGAAUUUCGGGGUUAGUAGGUUGGUCAUGCCUCUGGUAUGUACUGGUCUCACUGAUUCCUCCUUCCUGAUGAGCCGUAAUGCCAUUAAUUUGGUGUUGCGGGGAAUUUGGACUGUUACUUUGAAAAAUUAGAGUGUUUAAAGCAGGCUCACGCUUGAAUACAUUAGCAUGGAAUAAUGAAAUAGGACGUUUGAUUCUAUUUUGUUGGUUUCUAGGAUCGACGUAAUGAUUAAUAGGGAUAGUUGGGGGCAUUAGUAUUCAAUUGUCAGAGGUGAAA
RNAcentral lists this ribosomal RNA (344 nucleotides) under uncultured Glomus. RNAcentral describes it as "SSU rRNA". It matches the Rfam family "Eukaryotic small subunit ribosomal RNA", at positions 569 to 916 of the family's 1831-position model. Lineage: Eukaryota; Fungi; Glomeromycota; Glomeromycetes; Glomerales; Glomeraceae. The record is from RNAcentral.